This 3745-nucleotide long non-coding RNA is filed under the name Sus scrofa (pig). RNAcentral's name for it is "lncRNA (ENSSSCG00035048460.1)". The record is from RNAcentral. Lineage: Eukaryota; Metazoa; Chordata; Mammalia; Artiodactyla; Suidae.
AAAACGGGCUAAUGACUUGAGAACUGGCAUGCAGUAGGUGUUGCAUAAAUGCUCCUUCCCUUCUGUAUGCUGCUGGGUGAGGAGACAGGGCCAGGGGCUGGGAUGCUGGCAGGAAGCUGCCCCCAGCCGGGAGGCAUCCUGAGUUUCCUGCCUUGCUCCUCACCUGGGAGAGCUGGGCUGUGGGGGGUGACACUGGGGUUCAAAUGCUCCCAGAAAAGGUGACCAGAAUGACAAUGGGGACAGUGCCAGGCAAGGGGCUGAUGGCUCACACUGCUGACCUGCGGUGUCCUGAGGGCCUCAGGUCCUGACCCACUCCGUCCUCAGAGCCCUGGCUGGCGGGAUUCAUGUUGGGAAGCGGCCCAGAGAGGUGAGGCGGCUUAUCCCGGGCACACAGCAAUGAGAAGUGGCCAGGGGAUCUGAAGCCAGGCCCAAGAGGUCCAGAGCCCCACUUUUCACACCACUUCUGGGGGGCGAGGGGUGCCUAGAACGGUCUCUCGGCCCCCAUAAGGGAGGGCACGGCACCAGUGUCACCGAGGUGAAGGAGCAGAGAGAUUGUCUCCUGUCCACCUGUCUGUCCUUACCCCACGGAGGGCAGCAGCAGCAGUGAGCAGUCCAAAAAGCCAGGCUCAGGGGCCUUCUCCUCCCUGCCCUGCCCCAAACCAGCAGGUGGGACAUGUGUCACGUCCACGCCCCUCAUGGCACCCAGGGGCGGCGAGCCCGGCCAGCUGCCAAAGCCAUUGCACGCGGCACACUAAUUCCUUCAGCCCGAAGCCACAGGGGCCACCUCGCCCGCUGGUCCUGCUGGGUGCACACACCGACAGACGCACAGAACCACACACUCAGAACCACACACACACACACACAGCCCCUGGGGAGGUGGAGAAAAGAGCCCUGACUGGAAGCCCACCUGACCUGCCUGUCCUGCCAGCGCCAAGGGGAGGGAGGGAGGCCUGGCAGGCGGCCGGGGUCCGAGACUCAAGGAGCAGUUACAGAGAGAGUGCGCCCACCGUGGCGAUGGGUAACCACGGGGACAAAAGCACACUCAUACCCUCCCCGGCUGCCCGCUGCCAGGGGCUGGGGUCUCCAGAGCCACCUGGGAAGAGAAGAGACCCGGUGUUCAUUCAGUCUCCAUUCAGGGAGGCAUCCACCCAGCCAGCCAGCCUUCGCGCUCCACCCGUCAUCCUAGGAAUGUCACCGGGCACCUGCAGCAGGCCGAGCCUCCUCCAGGCAGCCAUCAGACCGUCGGAAGCCCUGGCUGACAUGAGCUUGGUGCCGAAAGGAUACAGAGAAGACAGGAUGCUUCCUAGCAGCAAGGACCGCCUCGCCGAACCCUCACAGUGCCACCAGCACUGCCACGUUACAGGUGAGGAAGCUGACUUGACAAGAAAGGGAACCAGAGACAGAAACACCCGAACAGCCAACGACGCAUGAUGGUAUAAGCCAGGCCCCCGAAUGUCCUGGGAGGGUCCUGGUUUUCAGCCCAUGUCCCCACGUAACAGGUAAUGGUGCCAUCUGCACUCUCACACGUGCCCUGGUUUGGACCCCAGUGAAGCCAGCUGAGCUCCCUUCCCAUUCUAGAGCUGAGGAAAGGAUGCAAUAUUGAGGGGGAGAGGGAAAGAGAGAGAGAGAGAGAGGGACGGAGCAGUCCCUGCGGGCUUCCUGGAAGAGGCGGGGCUGAGCUGCUCCUGGAGUCGGAGACACUGCUGCCUGAGACCCCAUGUCUGUGACCCAGGCCAGGGCUCAGCUUUGUUCCUUUGUUUAAGGACGCUAUGGUCUGGGGGAUCCCUAACCCUAACCCUAACACUGGGUACCAGCCAGGGUCAGGGAUGGGGCCUGGGACUGCCUGGGGCAGGUGUGCCCACCUGGCUGCCAAGGGUGCAAGGAAGGGGCGGAGGUCCAUGCUGUGCUUCAGUGAUAGGCACAAAGCCCCCAAUGGCCCCUGGCUGCCCUCCCAGCACCCACGAGGCAGGCUGCGCCCGGGCCCGCUCCUGGCACCCAGUGCCCCGCCCCCUGGGAGGACAAGGUGCCCCGCCUUCCGCUGCCACAGGUGCCUCGUGGCCUGGCACCUGCCUGUCCUGGCAGGGCUGGGGCUGCCCCCGGCCUGAUGGAGCCACGGCCCACUGUCUUCCAGCCAAAGCCCCGCUGUGAUGCUGGGGAACCUUCUCAAAGCUGAGAGAACGUCUUUGUAAAUAGGGUUGGAUUUCCCAUAAUUGGGGCUACAGUUUAUGCUGCCUUGUGGGUCAGGAUGCAAGCUCUGUGCCACACUGUUGUCUCGGUUCUGCCCACCUGACCAGCCUGGGGACAUCCACAAGUCACCUGACCUCCGUGUCUCGGUCUUCUCAUCUGGAACGCGCGGGAGGAACGGUGCCUACACACAGGGUAUGGGGAGGGUCAGUGAAGUGGUGCCUGCCAAGUGUGGCAAAGAGCCUGGUAUGCAGGAGGUGCUCACUAAAUGCCAGCUACUACAGUCCUUGCAGAUGGGACUCCCAGAAGAGAAGGGACCUGGUGUCUGAGACUCAGAAGGAUGCUUGUCCCCUUUCCUCUGCCCUCCACGACCUCACCAACAUGUUGGUGGUUCCUGCUCGCAUACCCCUGAGGACGGGGAGCUCACUACCUCACAGCCAGUGGGCCUGCAGAUGGGCGUGGAGUGUGCGCCCCUUGUCAGUGUGUUCCUUCGCAAUCAGAUUAAGUCCAAGCCAGGGAGUGGAGGGUCAGGACGCGAGUCCAUGCCUCCCACCUCCCAGCCUGGGGUCCUGGAUGUCACCUGAGUGGCCAAGAAGCUGGCUGUGAUGGGAGGAGGGGUGGAGAAGCCGUCGCACCUCAGCUGGUGUGAAACGAGCUCUGAGGCUUCAGUGUCCCUGUGCCGUGCGGAUCUGUGUCCCUCCCCGGCCCUCCGGGAGGCUGCCCCUUGGCCUCCUCCACCUGCUCCUGAGCCCCCAGAUCUGCCUGGCUCCUCUCUCGGCUCUCCUACCCUUUCCCUCCCACUUCCGAAGCAGGAGGGGACCUGGGAGAUGGGUCACCUGGGUUCUGGACCCUGCUUUGUCCCGGGGGCUGGGCAGCCCCAGGCAGGGGUGCUCCCUUCUCUGGGCCUCGGCAUCGCCUCUACAGGAAGGGAGGGGACGAGUCAUGACCUCUCUGAGCCAUCAGGCUCCGUGCUUUGCCUCUAGUGGCCAGGAGGGCAGCAGGCUCACCUGUGCACACCCUUGGGUGCCCAGCACGGGCCCAGUGGGCACUGUGGAAAGAGGAGCUGCCCUGAUGGGGGCAGUGGGGACUUGCCAGGGGAUCCUGGGGCUGCAGCAUUUGCUGCCAUGCCUCAGUGCUCUGUGAUGCCCCCUUACAAUCCUGGCCCCUGGGCUCAGACUAGGGCCAUUAUGCCAACCCCUGGGGACAGGGCUUAUGUUCCACACACGCACCCAAGUCCCCUGCAGCCAGGGCAGCCCUCACCGAGUCCCAGCUCCCCCCCCCCCGCCCUCACCCACUGCCCUGGGAGGGGCCACCUCGGGACUCACCCAGCGGCAGGAGCAUUUGCCACUUGGGGCUCUUCUGGUCCAUGAGAAUGGGCUGUCUCAGCCCCUGGCCCCCUGGCCCGGCCACCUUGGAGCAGCUCCCUUGGGCCUGGGAGAGCUGAGGGGGCAGGGCAGCACGUCGGGGAGUGGGGGGAACAAAGGAAGCCCCCUCCCAGGUCUGCAGAUCCGCCUGGGAGGCAGACUCCUGAGAAGCCAGCUGAGAGAGUGCCAAGAGAGCC